Molecule: ribosomal RNA, 22 nt
Filed under: Wisteria floribunda (Japanese wisteria)
Lineage: Eukaryota; Viridiplantae; Streptophyta; Magnoliopsida; Fabales; Fabaceae
Also listed under: 160 other names
Description: partial 18S ribosomal RNA
Source: RNAcentral
UGAACCUGCGGAAGGAUCAUUG